This 792-nucleotide ribosomal RNA is filed under the name uncultured bacterium. RNAcentral describes it as "bacterial SSU rRNA". It matches the Rfam family "Bacterial small subunit ribosomal RNA", at positions 8 to 796 of the family's 1533-position model. The record is from RNAcentral.
AGAGUUUGAUCCUGGCUCAGGAUGAACGCUGGCGGCGUGCCUAACACAUGCAAGUCGAGCGAGAUUUAGUGUAGUGGAGACUUUGGUCAAAGUGAAACUGAUGAAAGCGGCGGACGGGUGAGUAACGCGUGGGCAACCUGCCCCAUACAAAGGGAUAGCCACUGGAAACGGUGAUUAAUACCUUAUAAGUCGGUAGUCUCGCAUGAGACAGCCGACAAAGAUUUAUCGGUAUGGGAUGGGCCCGCGUUUGAUUAGCUAGUUGGUGAGGUAACGGCUCACCAAGGCGACGAUCAAUAGCCGACCUGAGAGGGUGAUCGGCCACACUGGAACUGAGACACGGUCCAGACUCCUACGGGAGGCAGCAGUGGGGAAUAUUGCACAAUGGGCGCAAGCCUGAUGCAGCAACGCCGCGUGAGUGAUGAAGGCCUUCGGGUCGUAAAACUCUGUCCUAUGGGAAGAAAAAAAUGACGGUACCAUAGGAGGAAGCCCCGGCUAACUACGUGCCAGCAGCCGCGGUAAUACGUAGGGGGCGAGCGUUACUCGGAUUCAUUGGGCGUAAAGCGAAUGUAGGUGGUUUUGUAAGUCAGAGGUGAAAUCCCACAGCCUAACUGUGGAAUUGCCUUUGAUACUGCAUAACUUGAGGACAGGAGAGGAAAGUGGAAUUCCCGGUGUAGCGGUGGAAUGCGUAGAUAUCGGGAGGAACACCAGAGGCGAAGGCGGCUUUCUGGACUGAUCCUGACACUGAGAUUCGAAAGCCAGGGGAGCAAACAGGAUUAGAUACCCUGGUAGUCC